This 207-nucleotide ribosomal RNA is filed under the name uncultured bacterium. Its description in RNAcentral is "partial 16S ribosomal RNA". It matches the Rfam family "Bacterial small subunit ribosomal RNA", at positions 568 to 774 of the family's 1533-position model. The record is from RNAcentral.
CACGUAGGCGGCUUUGUAAGUUAGAGGUGAAAGCCCGGGGCUCAACUUCCGAAUUGCCUUUAAGACUGCAUCGCUAGAAUUGUGGAGAGGUAAGUGGAAUUCCGAGUGUAGAGGUGAAAUUCGUAGAUAUUCGGAAGAAUACCAGUGGCGAAGGCGACUUACUGGACACAUAUUGACGCUGAGGUGCGAAAGCGUGGGGAGCAAACA